GCGUGCGGGGGCCUAACCAUGCAAGUCCAGCGGUAGAGAGAAGCUUGCUUCUCUUGAGAGCGGCGGACGGGUGAGUAAUGCCUAGGAAUCUGCCUGGUAGUGGGGGAUAACGCUCGGAAACGGACGCUAAUACCGCAUACGUCCUACGGGAGAAAGCAGGGGACCUUCGGGCCUUGCGCUAUCAGAUGAGCCUAGGUCGGAUUAGCUAGUUGGUGAGGUAAUGGCCCACCAAGGCGACGAUCCGUAACUGGUCUGAGAGGAUGAUCAGUCACACUGGAACUGAGACACGGUCCAGACUCCUACGGGAGGCAGCAGUGGGGAAUAUUGGACAAUGGGCGAAAGCCUGAUCCAGCCAUGCCGCGUGUGUGAAGAAGGUCUUCGGAUUGUAAAGCACUUUAAGUUGGGAGGAAGGGCAUUAACCUAAUACGUUAGUGUUUUGACGUUACCGACAGAAUAAGCACCGGCUAACUCUGUGCCAGCAGCCGCGGUAAU
RNAcentral lists this ribosomal RNA (492 nucleotides) under uncultured bacterium. RNAcentral's name for it is "bacterial SSU rRNA". It matches the Rfam family "Bacterial small subunit ribosomal RNA", at positions 35 to 524 of the family's 1533-position model. The record is from RNAcentral.